CGAAAUGUAGUUUAACCAAAACAUCUCGUUUACACCGAGAAGACGCCCGUGAAAACCAGGUCGCUUCGA
RNAcentral lists this transfer RNA (69 nucleotides) under Calyptocephallela gayi (helmeted water toad). RNAcentral describes it as "tRNA-Val". It matches the Rfam family "tRNA". Rfam says of the family: Transfer RNA (tRNA) molecules are approximately 80 nucleotides in length. Lineage: Eukaryota; Metazoa; Chordata; Amphibia; Anura; Calyptocephalellidae. The record is from RNAcentral.